AAUCAUAAAUCUGUGAAUUUGGAGGGAAGCCUGUUGGUUCAGCACCUGCAAAAAAAAAAAAAGAGUCCAGGCUUUCAAUAAAGAUCAGGAAGCUCUAACCAAAGUUCUAUAUGAGCAAUUCAAGGACCA
Glycine soja is the source of this 129-nucleotide long non-coding RNA. RefSeq lists it as uncharacterized. The transcript is spliced from 3 exons. The record is from RefSeq and is a predicted model, not a curated record. Lineage: Eukaryota; Viridiplantae; Streptophyta; Magnoliopsida; Fabales; Fabaceae.